GGCUGGUCCAAGUACAGUGGUGUUUACAGCUAAUUGAUCACAACCACUUACGGAUUUCUUUGUUUCCUCUCCACUCCUAUUGCUUCACUUGACUAGCCUUAA
Molecule: unclassified non-coding RNA, 102 nt
Organism: Cercocebus atys (sooty mangabey)
Lineage: Eukaryota; Metazoa; Chordata; Mammalia; Primates; Cercopithecidae
Rfam family: Y RNA
About the family: Y RNAs are components of the Ro ribonucleoprotein particle (Ro RNP), in association with Ro60 and La proteins. The Y RNAs and Ro60 and La proteins are well conserved, but the function of the Ro RNP is not known. In humans the RNA component can be one of four small RNAs -- hY1, hY3, hY4 and hY5.
Source: Ensembl